Long non-coding RNA from Passer domesticus (house sparrow), 693 nucleotides. RefSeq lists it as uncharacterized. The record is from RefSeq and is a predicted model, not a curated record. The transcript is spliced from 3 exons. Lineage: Eukaryota; Metazoa; Chordata; Aves; Passeriformes; Passeridae.
UCUGAGAGCUGAAAGUCUGUUUCCCACCCCUCCUGAAGACAGGCAGGGAGGGAAAGCUCACUCCCUGGGGUGUUGUUUAGACAUAGCCAUUGUUAGGUCAGAGUCUUGGAACAGCAGACAGACCUGGAGAUACCACCCAGGGACAGGAUAGCCUGAGAGGCCUGUACAGACAGCAGAAAAGGUUUGGAACUGACAGUGGAGGAACCCCACCCAGAUUCCAAAAAUAAUGCAGAACACGACUUACUCUGCAAACAUAUGAAAGGUUUUAAAAUACUACUUAUGCUUCCCAUUUGUCAACAUCUUAUCCAGAAAAGAGUCACUCAAAGAAGAUGGUUCACUGUCACUUGAGUCCUGCACUUUUUGCAGCCGCGCGAAAUGGAGCACCAAAGUAAUGUAUUUUGGUCAAGCUCAGAAAGAAUUUGUAUGUCAUCAAGUACUGCCAGCAAAAAAUCUUCACAGCUAUAACUAGACCUUGAAAGCUACAACACUGACCAUGUGACUUGGUCAAAUAUAGAUCUAACUUCUUGUGAAGCACCUGGAAAACCAAUGACAACUCAGAUUUACCAGAAGAGUUGUUUCAGCUCCCAGCUAAAUGAGAGAAUUUUUGGACAUUUGCCCUGCUUGAUUGAUGCAAAUAUAUUCUGGAAAUAGACCACUAAACCCCAUUGUUAAAAUACCCUAAAUAACAUCCCG